GACGAACGCUGGCGGCGUGCCUAAUACAUGCAAGUCGAACGCAUUUUCUUUCACCGUAGCUUGCUACACCGAAAGAAAAUGAGUGGCGAACGGGUGAGUAACACGUGGGUAACCUGCCCAUCAGCGGGGGAUAACACUUGGAAACAGGUGCUAAUACCGCAUAAUUCCAUUUACCGCAUGGUAAAUGGAUGAAAGGCGCUUUUGCGUCACUGAUGGAUGGACCCGCGGUGCAUUAGCUAGUUGGUGGGGUAACGGCCUACCAAGGCUGCGAUGCAUAGCCGACCUGAGAGGGUGAGCGGCCACACUGGGACUGAGACACGGCCCAGACGCCUACGGGAGGCAGCAGUAGGGAAGCUUCGGCAAUGGACGCAAGUCUGACCGAGCAACGCCGCGUGAGUGAAGAAGGUUUUCGGAUCGUAAAACUCUGUUGUUAGAGAAGAACAAGGAUGAGAGUGGAAAGUUCAUCCCUUGACGGUAUCUAACCAGAAAGCCACGGCUAACUACGUG
This 507-nucleotide ribosomal RNA is filed under the name uncultured bacterium. RNAcentral's name for it is "partial 16S ribosomal RNA". It matches the Rfam family "Bacterial small subunit ribosomal RNA", at positions 28 to 507 of the family's 1533-position model. The record is from RNAcentral.